RNAcentral lists this long non-coding RNA (493 nucleotides) under Androctonus crassicauda. Lineage: Eukaryota; Metazoa; Arthropoda; Arachnida; Scorpiones; Buthidae. The record is from RNAcentral.
UGCAUUUAUUCUCAUCUGUUUCUUUGACAUGCUUCAUUCAAUUAUGCAACAAGCAUCCUCAAACCUUGUUCCCUCUCAGAGGGGAGAACAGUGUAAUCAGAAUACAGCAGAUAGCACAUAUUUUUACCAUCUACCUUCAUUCCUAAUUUACUCACAGCAGUUUCCUCACACAUGCAUUCAUGUAUACAUUAAACAGCCACAGGGAUGUCACACACUCUUGAUUAUAAACCCUCAGACCUGCUUUCAUUUACUUUCACACUUGUAUAACUGUUAGCUUACAUUGCUCUCACUGCCCUAAGCAUCUGUUUAUUCACAUCAUAUUUCUUCAGCUUUUUCCACAGAUUACUUUAUUCAUUCUAUCAUAUACCUUCUUAAGAUCAACAAAAGUACAGAAUAGUUUCUUCCUCAUACUGAGGUAUUCUCCAGAAUUAUAUGGAUUAAUAAAAUCUGGUUCACACAUCUUUUUUCUACUCCUGAAGCUAUGUUCACAUCC